CGCUCUCUCUCCUGGUUCUAUUUCUAUCCAUACCAAGCUCCAUUAUACCUUCUCUUUCUCACAAAGCAUUCUCCAAGGCGCCAACCCUCUUUUAAUGCCAUACUGUCCUCGUAACUGGUUUAAUGCCUUCUCACAGUUUCAAAUAUCAUUCUUGAAAAUGACUCAAUUUUGCCUACACGUUGACCUAUGAGUUGUACACCUACAGUUCCACAUAUACGUCUUACAAGCCCCUGACACGUAACAUAAUGAACACGUUUAUUGAUUUACGUCACCUAUGUACUCCUCCUGAUUUCUGGGCUUGGUGAAUGGCAUCACCAUCCUCUCUUCCUCUGGCUUUCUUCUUGUUGUUUUCCACUCUUCCAUCUCCCGAAGUUACUAUAUGUUUCUCUGUAUGCCCUUCCCAGUCGUUUCCAUAGCCUUGGCUCAAGCCUUCAUUAUUUCUUAUCUGGAUUACAGGAGCGUGGCUCCCACUCAAAUCUCUUCCUACCCUAAUCUGUCCUCCAAGUUCUUUUUCUAAAGCAUUAAUCUAAGUUUGUUCUUCCUAUCUAUGAUGUUCCAGUAACUUCAGAAUAUAUUCUAAACCCCUAAACUCAGUAUUCAAAGGCCUUCAUAGUUUAGUCCCUCUUACCUCUCCAAACCCUGGAUACUCUCAACAAUAGUUUCCGCCUGUUCUCCACACGGCUUGGCUUCCAGGGUUUUGCUCAAGCCUGAUGUACCUUCUACAAGGCCUCAGCCUUCAGCAAUCAUCUGGUCGAGUUCUGCCGAUUCUACAGUGCCUAACUGGAAAGAAAAUUAUCUUCUCCAAGAAGCUGUCCUUGAAUUCCUCUCCUUCCUGCACCCUACAGGGUACUUCCACGAAACUUUUCAGUACCUCUAAUAUAGCACGAAUCUGCCUACUCUGCAUUCCUCCUGGAGUAGGUGGAGAGAGAAAUUAUUUGUCUUUCUAUCUCCCGUCAACAGAAAGGAUCAAUAAAUGUUUGCUGAGUAUAACCACAAACACAUCAUAGCACAUGGAUGAAACUGAGUUUGUCUUAGUUACUGCCAACAGUCUCUGGUGCUUUAUUCACUCAUGUCUAGUCCCUCCCAUCGUGGACAACUGAGGGAAAAUAGAUGUUUCGCCCGUGAUCGUGUUGCUAGGGUUUAGAAUUCCCAUUCACUGAGCUUGGUGUGCUGGAGACGGCCUCCAGCAGGCUGCGCUGAACCUUCCGCACUUCUCAGGGACAGGAGCUACUCACCGUAAAAGUCACUUGGAGGCCUGACUGCAUGGGGUGCAGCGUCCUUGUGAAGAGUCCUCAGAUGGCUCUAGAGCUGGCAGUGCUGCUUUUCAGUAUUCAGCUCUGACAACUUCCCAACCCCCUCACAUCUACCACGGCCCCCACAGAGAAGAGAAAAGAAAAAAGCCCACAGACGCCCAGCCGAGGAUUCCUCUGGGCGAGGGGAGGCAUCAGAACAUGCUGAGAGCCAGAAGAUGUCCCAGAUUGGCAAGAGAGAAAUGGAAAUGACUUCAGUUUGGCCCCUGGCCCGAUGGGAGUUGCUGCCCAGAGGUGCCUAUGGACCAGAAGGCGAAACCAACUGGGCCUGGCUCCUGGAAAGCGAGAGAACCAGGGGACCACAACAACAAGCUUUUCUCCUCUUGGUUGUGACAAGACUCUCUUUCUGACCAGUUUCUUCUAACCGAGGACUGCUUUGAUUCUGACUUUGACUUGAUGUCUUCUUGAAGGCAGCCUCUUCGUUUCCUACCUCCGCUCUUGCAGUGCAGCCCAAGGGGAGUGGCCCUGCCCUGGGACCUGGGCCAGGAAACCGACUCACAGGGCCAUGACUUCAGGACUGCUGAGCACCAGUGGAAAAAGCCCGGGCUCCGUGCAGGGGAGGAGCGUUUCUGGCACAGAGACACCUGUGCCUGCACUCAGAAAGAUUAAUAAGAGUUCUGGAGUGGAAGAAUGAGGAUGGAAAAGCUGACUUGGAAUGGAAAACUCAACUGGUAGGAGGCCCUUCCAUGACCCUCUGGCCAAAGUACUGCUACAUUAUUUUAACUCUGUGUGACCAAGGGUUUGCGCCGUCAGAAGAUCCAGAAACUGUACGUCACCAACACUGCACAGAGCUCAGUGACAGUUACCCAAGGAGAAACUGCAGCUGAGUGACAGACCUACACUGCAGAUUCCCCGUGUGUCACCUUCAGGUUUUCUUUUUCACAUCUAAUGAAUUACAAGUACAGAUUGGCUGAGAUUUGUCUCCUUUUUCAUCUUUAGUAUUCUUCUGGGUUUACACCUCAUGUGAGUCCACUGUGCUGUUGUGUGUACCCAGAUUUGUGCAUAAACCUUAAAACACCAUCUGGAAAAGCAAAUGGCUCUUUGAAGUCUGUGGAGAAAGCACCAGAUGGAAGCUUAUGAGACUCUUGUUCCCAAAAGCCCUGCAUCUAAAACAACCUCAAGUAUGACAAAGACACAAUUCAUUCAGAGUCCUAGGCUUUGUUAUCAAUAAGAUGUAAAUAUGUUAGCAUGCAUCGCUCUGUUCCUGUGGUCAGCAGAGUGACAGUCCCCAAAGUUGUCCACACCCUCAUCCCUGGAUCUGUGAAUUUUACCUUACAGGGCAAAGGUGAUUUUGCUGAUGUGAUUAAGGGUAUGGAGUUUGAGAUGAGGAGAUUAUCCAAGCGGGCACGAUCUAAUCACAAGUUCUUAAACGUGGAGAACUUUUCUGAGUUGCAGUGGGAGAGGUGCAACAACGGAAGAGUCAGAGAGAUGGGAGCACGAGGAAGAUUCAACACCCUUGUGCUGGCUCUGAGCAGCAGGGGCCUUUGUGCGCAGACCAGAGAGAGACAUCUAGGAACUAAGGGCAGCCCGAGGUGACAGCCAUCAAGGAAGUGGGGACCUCAGUCCAACACCCACAGGGAAUUGAAGCCUGACUGAAUGAGCAAGGAAGUGGGUCCUUCCCUAGAGCCUCUAGAGGGGAAUGUGGUUCUGCUGGCACCUUGACUUGAGCCCAGUGACACCAUGUUUCUGACCUACGGGAACUGUCGAAUAAUAAGUGUGUUGUGCAAGGGAUGUGCAUUGGCUAUCAGUGGUGUUUCCAACUUUUGCUUACGAAAGCUUUGUUUAUUUGUCAAUUUAUUCACUGGUAAGUAAAUAUUAGUUUGCCCAUUGCCAAAUUGGAGGCAGUGGAUUUGUGGAGUUUAAUUUUAAUCUUAACAUAAGGCACAGCUGUGAAAUGUGGGAGAAUCUUAUCUGCAAUUAGCAAGUAUGAGACUUUCCACUGAGUUUUUAUUGUGAAUGUUCACACAUGUCUCAACCAGAUAUGCACAUAGUAGCCUUGUCCUUGAGUGUUCUGGGCUGGAAUAAAUUUGUGAACAGGCACUAAACAAAGUUAUUCCUAAUUUUUUGUUUUUGUAUUUUUUCU
Molecule: long non-coding RNA, 3393 nt
Filed under: Equus caballus (horse)
Lineage: Eukaryota; Metazoa; Chordata; Mammalia; Perissodactyla; Equidae
Description: lncRNA (ENSECAG00000055752.1)
Source: RNAcentral